GAACAAUAUAAAUAGCGUUCAAAAACUUUUAAGUUUAUUUUAAAUGAAUAAGCUUUGCAUUUUAUCAGCAAAACAAAAUAUUCUUAUCAGAUCCACAUCAAUGUAAACAUUUCAAUUGUUCUGUUUCCUGUACUCAAAUGAAAUUUUGAUAAUAUGGAAACAAAAAAGAAAUAUCCCAUGCGUAGAAUCGUAAAUGCAAAGCUGAAAAAGAUGCUGCCCUUCAGAAGCAGGCAGAUGCAAUACCUCAUUUCAUAAAGAAGAUGAAGAGUACUUCGGACGUAAAUGAUGUUCACAUUCAAUCAGAAUCGAUUACAAAAGAACAGACAUCAUCUAGCCAAAGAACAUCAGCUACAUUGGAUGAAGUUAUUGCAGGAAAGAUUCAUAAAUCUAGCUCUUAUAGCCACUGAAAAUAAAAUCUGUCAAGAGAUAGAUGCAAAAGAAUUUAUAGAAAAAUUUGUAAAUAUGAAAUGCAGUAAAAUAAAUUAUUCUCAAUAAACUGUUAAAAAAAUCAACAAAUGUUUUCUUCAAAACAUACUCCAAUACAAAAAUUUAAAAAGGGGAGGGCGUGACUUCAGUUAUUUUGCAGGCGGGUGCUGGAUAAUCUUGCGUCGGCGCUGGGUAAACCUUUCUUCUCAAAACAAGGAAACCUAAAGGAAAUCAAUCAAAAGAGCAGAAAUUAAUCAUUCAUUGAGUGAGGUAGAAAUAAUCUCUACUCAAAUUACUCAAUCAACAUCUGAAGAAUGGAAGGAAGCUAUUAAAAGCAUGUCUGCCUAUCUUGAUAAAAUAAAAAAGAUAAUGUCCGGAGCACACACACACACACACACAAAAAAAAAGAAACAUUGCGAGAACUGAAAAUUGCCAAAGGUAUUUGGGUUGAAAAACCCACGGGGAAAGGUAAAAAAAAAAAAGGCAAUCUCAAAGGAUGGAGCAAAAUACAGCGUCAAAGACUGCAAAAAGAGACAGACUACCUGCAGGGAGGCUUUUGUGGUGGUCAAGAUGGCUGUACUCAUUGAAGGACAUCCCGAAAACAUUUAUUGGAGGAACAGGCUACAGACCUUGAACUUCUGAUAAUGAAUAAACUAGGUUAAAAAAAAAAAAAAAUAUCGGCUUUCUCACUACCUUCCUUACCUGCAGAUUUCAAGAUUAAUAGCUAUUAAGGUUUUCCUGUUCCUCUUUUUAAUAUUAGAAACCUGUAAUUUUCCUUUGCAUUAAAGAAAUAAUAAAAAUCUAUUUGUAUUUAAUUUAUAGAAAGACAAUUCAUAAAAGAAUAGAAAUUGAAAAAAAUGCAUCUUGGUACUGAUCUGAUAUUUCUUGACAAAAUGUUUAAACAGUACAACAAAGGAAAACAACAUAUUUAAAAAAAAAAAAAUAAUAAUAAUAAUAUUAAUGUUUUCAAUAGGCAAUGAACUGUUAAAUACUGAAUGUUUUAAGUUAUAACAUCAUAGAAAAAUUAAUUAAUUAAUAAAAAUCUUAAAAGUACUAUUUAUUGUUUAUAAUUUACAAUUGUGUAUAUUUUUUACACACCCUAAGAGCUGCGUGUGAUCUCAGGUCAUGAUACAAAUACAAAUUUAUCAAUGCACAAAAAAAAAAAAAAAAAAAAAAAAAAAAAAAAAAAAAAA
Stegodyphus dumicola is the source of this 1619-nucleotide long non-coding RNA. RefSeq lists it as uncharacterized. Lineage: Eukaryota; Metazoa; Arthropoda; Arachnida; Araneae; Eresidae. The record is from RefSeq and is a predicted model, not a curated record.